CAGGCCUGAAGAAGAGAAGGGAGGAAAUCUGCCGGAAGUAGUCUUCCUAGAACCAGGCGGCGAAGCUCUCAACGCCGCGUCCCAGAACCUUUUAGAGACCACGUGGGGACUGGGAAAACUGAGUAGAAGACCUAGGUUCGAAUCCUGCCCCUUCCCCCUACUAAUUAGAGCCCUGAGGACAACCGGGCACUUCUCUCUGAUUCCCAGCGUUCCCCUCUCUGAGAUGGGGAUAAUCGUGAAUUUGUAGAUUUGUAAUCUCGUGGGACCUUUGAGGUCGCGGAGUCCAACUGCCGGGUUUUACAGAUGAGAAAGAUGAGGUCCGCGUCUCAGAUGGGAAGAGACUGUGACUGAGUUGUCCAUACACAGACAUUCAUCUGUGCACAUAUGUAACAAACAAUAUGUACAUGCACAGUUAGCAUAUCUGUCUGUGUCCGUACAUACACCCCCCUGGCCCGGAAGGGCAAGGCGAGGUCCGCAUGCAGCUUGCGCUCCAAACAGGAUGGGCCAGUGAGAUACACACACACAAGGAAUGCGUGCACACAGGAACAUUCACACCCCCAUGCAGUGCAUGCACACCAGCUGGCCCGGAAAGGCUAGGCGAGGUCCGCAUGCAGCUUGCGCUCCCCCAUGCAGAGCAUGCACACCAGCUGGCCCGGAAGGGCAAGGCAAGGUCCGCAUGCAGCUUGCGCUCCAAACAGGAUGGGCCAGUGAGAUACACACACACAAGGUAGGCGUGCACACAGGAGCAUUCACACCCCCAUGCAGUGCAUGCACACCAGCUGGCCCGGAAGGGCAAGGCGAGGUCCGCAUGCAGCUUGUGCUCCAAACGGGAUGGGGCCAGUGAGAUAUACACACACAAGGAAUGCGUGCACACAGGAGCAUUCACACCCCCAUGCAGUGCAUGCACACCAGCUGGCCCGGAAGGGCAAGGCAAGGUCCGCAUGCAGCUUGUGCUCCAAACGGGAUGGGGCCAGUGAGAUACACACACACAAGGUAGGCGUGCACACAGGAGCAUUCACACCCCCAUGCAGUGCAUGCACACCAGCUGGCCCGGAAGGGCAAGGCGAGGUCCGCAUGCAGCUUGUGCUCCAAACAGGAUGGGCCAGUGAGAUACACACACACAAGGAAUGCGUGCACACAGGAGCAUUCACACCCCCAUGCAGUGCAUGCACACCAGCUGGCCCGGAAGGGCAAGGCAAGGUCCGCAUGCAGCUUG
Antechinus flavipes (yellow-footed antechinus) is the source of this 1216-nucleotide long non-coding RNA. RefSeq lists it as uncharacterized. NCBI's taxonomy places the organism in Eukaryota, Metazoa, Chordata, Mammalia, Dasyuromorphia, Dasyuridae. The transcript is spliced from 4 exons. The record is from RefSeq and is a predicted model, not a curated record.